AGUAGCUCAGUAGGUAGAGCUUUUGGCUGUUAACCAAAAUGUCGCUGGUUCAAUCCCAGUC
This 61-nucleotide transfer RNA is filed under the name uncultured eukaryote. It matches the Rfam family "tRNA", at positions 7 to 64 of the family's 71-position model. From Rfam's summary of the family: Transfer RNA (tRNA) molecules are approximately 80 nucleotides in length. Their secondary structure includes four short double-helical elements and three loops (D, anti-codon, and T loops). The record is from RNAcentral.